AAGCUUGGUGCUUGCACCGAGCGGAUGAGUUGCGAACGGGUGAGUAACGCGUAGGUAACCUGCCUCUUAGCGGGGGAUAACUAUUGGAAACGAUAGCUAAUACCGCAUAAAAGACGAUAUCGCAUGAUAUUGAUUUGAAAGGCGCAAAUGCAUCACUAAGAGAUGGACCUGCGUUGUAUUAGCUAGUUGGUGAGGUAACGGCUCACCAAGGCGACGAUACAUAGCCGACCUGAGAGGGUGAUCGGCCACACUGGGACUGAGACACGGCCCAGACUCCUACGGGAGGCAGCAGUAGGGAAUCUUCGGCAAUGGGGGCAACCCUGACCGAGCAACGCCGCGUGAGUGAAGAAGGUUUUCGGAUCGUAAAGCUCUGUUGUAAGAGAAGAACGAGUGUGAGAGUGGAAAGUUCACACUGUGACGGUAACUUACCAGAAAGGGACGGCUAACUACGUGCCAGCAGCCGCGGUAAUACGUAGGUCCCGAGCGUUAUCCGGAUUUAUUGGGCGUAAAGCGAGCGCAGGCGGUUAGAUAAGUCUGAAGUUAAAGGCUGUGGCUUAACCAUAGUACGCUUUGGAAACUGUUUAACUUGAGUCGCAGAAGGGGAGAGUGGAAUUCCAUGUGUAGCGGUGAAAUGCGUAGAUAUAUGGAGGAACACCGGUGGCGAAAGCGGCUCUCUGGUCUGUAACUGACGCUGAGGCUCGAAAGCGUGGGGAGCAAACAGGAUUAGAUACCCUGGUAGUCCACGCCGUAAACGAUGAGUGCUAGGUGUUGGGUCCU
Molecule: ribosomal RNA, 777 nt
Filed under: uncultured Streptococcus sp.
Lineage: Bacteria; Bacillati; Bacillota; Bacilli; Lactobacillales; Streptococcaceae
Description: bacterial SSU rRNA
Rfam family: Bacterial small subunit ribosomal RNA
Source: RNAcentral